ACCACUGAAAGAACGAUUAAGGGACAUUUUUUCCCAAAAAAAAACCUAGUACCAGCCUUGAGAGACUUAAGUAUAAAAUUAUUUUUAAGCCCAACAUAUGGGAGAAUGUGAAUCUAUUUUUAUAGAAAUUUCAUCAGUUCCCUCAAAAAUUCUCUUCGGUGUUGUUAAUCUACCUGAUGGAAACAUAAAUUUAUUCGCUGAAUUAUUUGCAAAUUAUGCUAAUGUUGUUGUUGUAGGAGACUUAAACUUUAAUCUCUUUGGUGCAAAUACUGCUGCAAUGGCUAGAAACAUUGCAAUUCGUUUGGGUCUUAGCAUUGUUCAUAACACUUGUACUUUUUUUUUGAUAUUGUCCAACGUACAAUAUCUUUAAUUGAUUAUUGAAUGAUGAGUAAUCUAUCUUGAUUGCAGGUCUCUUUUUCAAGUCCAAUGUCCUUCGAUCGCACAUCUUUCGCUGAUAUAAGCCUCUGUUGGAUUGCCUGUCGAACACUGUGAGGAAUAUGUUGAAGAUCGUGAUUAUAGUAGAUUCAAAGGAACCGUGGAUGUCCUCUGACGCCCUUUUAUAUGUAAGGUCUCUGAGAGAUCUAGCUUAUAAAGUGUAUUUACAUAGAAGAACUGAUGUGAUUUGGAGAAUCUAUUGUACUUGUUCAUGGAACAGGCUUUUGUUGAUUCUCUAAAAAUGUAACCUAAAAUAAAUCUAUGAGCGUCAA
Molecule: long non-coding RNA, 707 nt
Organism: Stomoxys calcitrans (stable fly)
Lineage: Eukaryota; Metazoa; Arthropoda; Insecta; Diptera; Muscidae
Exons: 2
Source: RefSeq, a predicted model, not a curated record